RNAcentral lists this antisense RNA (75 nucleotides) under Streptomyces sp. yr375. RNAcentral describes it as "ASpks TB sRNA". It matches the Rfam family "ASpks TB sRNA". Lineage: Bacteria; Bacillati; Actinomycetota; Actinomycetes; Kitasatosporales; Streptomycetaceae. The record is from Rfam by way of RNAcentral.
CUUCACCGACCCCAGCCACAGCGGCUGUUCGGCGUCCCUGCGCCUGCCGUACGUCGCCAGCAGCGCCUGCGCCUC